This 76-nucleotide transfer RNA is filed under the name Chryseobacterium gleum. RNAcentral describes it as "tRNA-Asp". It matches the Rfam family "tRNA". From Rfam's summary of the family: Transfer RNA (tRNA) molecules are approximately 80 nucleotides in length. RNAcentral also lists the same sequence under 1 other name. Lineage: Bacteria; Pseudomonadati; Bacteroidota; Flavobacteriia; Flavobacteriales; Weeksellaceae. The record is from RNAcentral.
GAGUACAUAGUUCAACAGUGAAGAAUGCGUCCCUGUCACGGACGAGGUUGCAGGUUCGAGUCCUGCUGUACUCCCA